UAGGGAAUCUUCGGCAAUGGACGGAAGUCUGACCGAGCAACGCCGCGUGAGUGAAGAAGGUUUUCGGAUCGUAAAGCUCUGUUGUAAGAGAAGAACGAGUGUGAGAGUAGAAAGUUCACACUGUGACGGUAUCUUACCAGAAAGGGACGGCUAACUACGUGCCAGCAGCCGCGGUAAUACGUAGGUCCCGAGCGUUGUCCGGAUUUAUUGGGCGUAAAGCGAGCGCAGGCGGUUAGAUAAGUCUGAAGUUAAAGGCUGUGGCUUAACCAUAGUACGCUUUGGAAACUGUUUAACUUGAGUGCAAGAGGGGAGAGUGGAAUUCCAUGUGUAGCGGUGAAAUGCGUAGAUAUAUGGAGGAACACCGGUGGCGAAAGCGGCUCUCUGGCUUGUAACUGACGCUGAGGCUCGAAAGCGUGGGGAGCAAACAGGAUUAGAUACCCUGGUAGUCCACGCUGUAAACGAUGAGUGCUAGGUGUUAGACCCUUUCCGGGGUUUAGUGCCGUAGCUAACGCAUUAAGCACUCCGCCUGGGGAGUACGACCGCAAGGUUG
Molecule: ribosomal RNA, 550 nt
Filed under: uncultured bacterium
Lineage: Bacteria
Description: bacterial SSU rRNA
Rfam family: Bacterial small subunit ribosomal RNA
Source: RNAcentral